CCUUUUUGUAAUGUUCAUAAGCUUGAGACCAUUUCCAUUUCUCCCUCCAGUAACAGCCUGAGAUUGGGAGCGUGUACAAAACCUGAGGGGGCUUCUGGUCUUGGAAGGGACAUGCUGCUUUAUAAAAUCUAAGGAAAGCUGUUUCAUCCUUCCAGUUUUAAUUCUGAAAAAGAGGCAAAGCCUCCAGCAAGUGCCUCAGUGAGUCCUGACCAUAACCUCUUGAGAGCAGCCACGCACGGCAGCUUUUCCCCUGCUGUGCUGUCUCCCCCUGCAAGUUUCUAACCACCCCUCAGAGGAGUGAUCUGUGUUGUUCCUGACUUGAACUUGGUUUCAUGGACCCAGAAAAGAUGACCAGUCCCCAUUGAUACUCCACCUCUUCCCAAGAUCUGUGUCCUUUCCUGCUUGGGUACUGGGAGCUCUGCAAUGGCCUAAGCUUCACACCGUGUUCCCUGUCUGAAGCUCCUCCAGGCAAGAGACCAGUCAGCAGCAAUGUUGGUGCUGUAUCACCAAGCAGGAUGUAUAACAGCAAAGUUUGCCUAUUUUUAAUUCCAUGCAUGCUCUGAUCAUAAUCUUCCUUUGUCUGUACUGACUUUUCACCAGAUUUUUAGGAACUUAAUAUUUUCAGGACUUCUCUCUGCCUUUUGGAAUUGGCCAGCAGUGGUAAGGGACAACGUCUGACAGACCGUUGUAAAACGUAUCACAGAAGGUUUGCUUCCUAAGGAACCAGUCUCAGAUCACCUUCGUAAGUCCAUUCUUACAGGUCUAUCCAAUUGUGCACAGCAUUGCUGAC
RNAcentral lists this long non-coding RNA (790 nucleotides) under Anas platyrhynchos (mallard). Its description in RNAcentral is "lncRNA (ENSAPLG00020004904.1)". Lineage: Eukaryota; Metazoa; Chordata; Aves; Anseriformes; Anatidae. The record is from RNAcentral.